Molecule: non-coding RNA, 165 nt
Organism: Beta vulgaris subsp. vulgaris (sugar beet)
Lineage: Eukaryota; Viridiplantae; Streptophyta; Magnoliopsida; Caryophyllales; Amaranthaceae
Source: Rfam
AGGUGGUGCAUGGCUGUCGUCAGCUCGUGCCGUAAGGUGUUGGGUUAAGUCCCGCAACGAGCGGAACCCUCGUGUUUAGUUGCCAACGUUGAGUUUGGAACCCUCAACAGACUAUCGGUGAUAAGCCGAAGGAAGGUGAGGAUGACGUCAAGAGUUCCAAAUCUU